Molecule: ribosomal RNA, 476 nt
Filed under: uncultured bacterium
Lineage: Bacteria
Description: bacterial SSU rRNA
Rfam family: Bacterial small subunit ribosomal RNA
Source: RNAcentral
GGGGGCCCGCAAGCGGUGGAGCAUGUGGUUCAAUUCGACGCAACGCGAAGAACCUUACCUGGGCUCGAAAUGUAGUGGAAUGGGGUGGAAACAUCCCUGUCCCGCAAGGGACCGCUAUAUAGGUGCUGCAUGGCUGUCGUCAGCUCGUGUCGUGAGAUGUUGGGUUAAGUCCCGCAACGAGCGCAACCCUUAUCGUUAGUUGCCAUCGGGUCAAGCCGGGCACUCUAGCGAAACCGCCUGGGAUAACCAGGAGGAAGGUGGGGAUGACGUCAAGUCCUCAUGGCCUUUAUGUCCAGGGCUACGCACGUGCUACAAUGCACGGUACAAACCGUCGCAAACCCGUGAGGGGGAGCUAAUCGGAAAAAGCCGUGCUCAGUUCGGAUUGGAGUCUGCAACCCGACUCCAUGAAGCUGGAAUCGCUAGUAAUCGCAGAUCAGAACGCUGCGGUGAAUACGUUCCCGGGCCUUGUACACACC